This 1598-nucleotide ribosomal RNA is filed under the name Mycoplasmoides gallisepticum. Its description in RNAcentral is "Mycoplasma gallisepticum partial 16S ribosomal RNA". It matches the Rfam family "Bacterial small subunit ribosomal RNA". Lineage: Bacteria; Bacillati; Mycoplasmatota; Mycoplasmoidales; Mycoplasmoidaceae. The record is from RNAcentral.
CUGGCGGCAUGCCUAAUACAUGCAAGUCGAUCGGAUGUAGCAAUACAUUAGAGGCGAACGGGUGAGUAACACGUAUCCAAUCUGCCUUAUAGUGGGGGAUAACUAGUCGAAAGAUUAGCUAAUACCGCAUAACAAGUUAACUAUCGCAUGAGAAUAACUUUAAAGAAGCAACUGCUUCGCUAUAAGAUGAGGGUGCGGCAUAUCAGCUAGUUGGUGAGGAUAAUGGCCCACCAAGGCGAUGACGUGUAGUUAUGCUGAGAGGUAGAAUAACCACAAUGGGACUGAGACACGGCCCAUACUCCUACGGGAGGCAGCAGUAGGGAAUUUUUCACAAUGGACGAAAGUCUGAUGGAGCAAUGCCGCGUGAACGAUGAAGGUCUUUUUAGAUUGUAAAGUUCUUUUAUUUGGGAAGAACAGUUAGUAGAGUGGAAAGCUAUUAAUUUGACUGUACCAUUUGAAUAAGUAACGACUAACUAUGUGCCAGCAGUCGCGGUAAUACAUAGGUUGCAAGCGUUAUCCGGAUUUAUUGGGCGUAAAACAAGCGCAGGCGGAUUAGAAAGUCUGGUGUUAAAAGCAAUUGCUUAACGAUUGUAUGCAUUGGAAACUUCUAGUCUAGAGUUUGGUAGAGAGUCCUGGAACUCCAUGUGGAGCGGUGAAAUGCGUAGAUAUAUGGAAGAACACCAGAGGCGAAGGCGAGGACUUGGGCCAAUACUGACGCUUAGGCUUGAAAGUGUGGGGAGCAAAUAGGAUUAGAUACCCUAGUAGUCCACACUGUAAACGAUUGAUGUUAAGUGUCGGAGCGAAUACUUCGGUGCUGCAGUUAACACAUUAAACAUCCUGCCUGAGUAGUACAUUCGCAAGAAUGAAACUCAAACGGAAUUGACGGGGACCCGCACAAGUGGUGGAGCAUGUUGCUUAAUUCGACGGUACACGAAAAACCUUACCUAGACUUGACAUCUUGGGCGAAGCUAUAGAAAUAUAGUGGAGGUCAACCCAAUGACAGGUGGUGCAUGGUUGUCGUCAGCUCGUGUCGUGAGAUGUUGGGUUAAGUCCCGCAACGAGCGCAACCCUUAUCGUUAGUUACUUUGUCUAACGAGACUGCCAACGUAAGUUGGAGGAAGGUGGGGAUGACGUCAAAUCAUCAUGCCCCUUAUGUCUAGGGCUGCAAACGUGCUACAAUGGCCAAUACAAACAGUUGCAAAUCCGUAAGGUGGAGCUAAUCUGUAAAGUUGGUCUCAGUUCGGAUUGAGGGCUGCAAUUCGCCCUCAUGAAGUCGGAAUCACUAGUAAUCGCGAAUCAGCCAUGUCGCGGUGAAUACGUUCUCGGGUCUUGUACACACCGCCCGUCAAACUAUGAGAGCUGGUAAUAUCUAAAACCGUGUUGCUAACCGCAAGGAAGCGCAUGUCUAGGGUAGGGCCGGUGAUUGGAGUUAAGUCGUAACAAGGUACCCCUACGAGAACGUGGGGGUGGAUUACCUCCUUGUCUAUGGAGUAUAUUAAUACACUAACACGAUAUACACCUGUUACAUAUAACGGUGAAACAAUUAAAACCCAGCAAGAAAAGUUAAACCCAUAAAAGCAAAUUGAUAACUUAAAAAU